This 251-nucleotide ribosomal RNA is filed under the name uncultured bacterium. RNAcentral describes it as "partial 16S ribosomal RNA". It matches the Rfam family "Bacterial small subunit ribosomal RNA", at positions 525 to 775 of the family's 1533-position model. The record is from RNAcentral.
ACGUAUGGUGCAAGCGUUAUCCGGAUUUACUGGGUAUAAAGGGAGCGCAGGCGGUACGGCAAGUCUGAUGUGAAAGCCCGGGGCUCAACCCCGGUACUGCAUUGGAAACUGUCGGACUAGAGUGUCGGAGGGGUAAGUGGAAUUCCUAGUGUAGCGGUGAAAUGCGUAGAUAUUAGGAGGAACACCAGUGGCGAAGGCGGCUUACUGGACGAUUACUGACGCUGAGGCUCGAAAGCGUGGGGAGCAAACAG